AUUCAAUUUUAUUUUCAUCCUACUCCCUAAGACCUUUUCCAACCAGCUCCCUCCCACCCCAGUCUCCAACCAUUGCUAUUCAAAAUUCAAAUUUCAAAGAUGAAGUCGCCAUGGAAAUGACAGUUUCUCACGCCAGCAAGUGUUUUUGGUAAAAGAAACCAUUACCUCUGCGAAGCUAUUAGAAUGGAAACAUUUUACCUUUAUUAUGAAAAAGAAAAUAUGUAAAGGAGUGUUUGCUUCGGAAUCUGUUCAUUAUUUACUGGUUAUACGUAACGUUGGUUUAGUAAGAAAACUGGAAAGGACUCAUUCUACUUCUCAGUAACGGGAUAUUAUUGUUGUUAUUGUUGGUGGACAGUGAUUUUAUUUGUCAAAUUUGUCAGCAACUGCAAACCCUUAAAAAGGUAUUUCUAUAGGAUCACAUAAUGUUGUAAAGAAUGCCAAGUAUGAAAUGAUAUCACGUGAUCUUACUUUAUGCAACGGCUCUCCAUCAGAUUAUUCACAGCGACUGCAAGAAAGGAAGUUUUCCAAAUGAACAUUGCAUCUUUAAGUUUACAAUGCAUUAUGCAAAUCAAAGCGUCUUUAGGUGUGCAGGUAUAGCGUCUCGAUCCAAGACACGGCUAUAGCUGCAAAGACUGGAUCCAAACAUGAACUUGGUGCUAGAUACAUCAUAGUAAGUAUCGUCCAUACAACUGUAUGAUGUACUCUUUAUCAACAAUACAUACCAUAAAGU
Xenia sp. Carnegie-2017 is the source of this 730-nucleotide long non-coding RNA. RefSeq lists it as uncharacterized. The transcript has 4 exons. The record is from RefSeq and is a predicted model, not a curated record. NCBI's taxonomy places the organism in Eukaryota, Metazoa, Cnidaria, Anthozoa, Malacalcyonacea, Xeniidae.